This 753-nucleotide ribosomal RNA is filed under the name uncultured bacterium. RNAcentral describes it as "bacterial SSU rRNA". It matches the Rfam family "Bacterial small subunit ribosomal RNA", at positions 33 to 815 of the family's 1533-position model. The record is from RNAcentral.
GGACUGGCGGGUGCUUACAAUGCAGUCGAACGGGGGUUUGUAGCAAUACGGACCCUAGUGGCAAACGGGUGCAUAACACGUGGGUAACCUACCUCCGAGUGGGGAAUAACGACCCGAAAGGGUCGCUAAUACCGCAUAAGCUCGCGAGAGGAAAGCCUUCGAAAGGAGGCGCUGGGAGAGGGGCCUGCGUCCCAUCAGGUAGUUGGCAGGGUAAAGGCCUACCAAGCCGAUGACGGGUAGCUGGUCUGAGAGGGCGAUCAGCCACACUGGCACUGAGAGACGGGCCAGACUCCUACGGGAGGCAGCAGUGAGGAAUAUUGCGCAAUGGGCGAAAGCCUGACGCAGCAACGCCGCGUGCGGGAUGAAGGCCUUCGGGUCGUAAACCGCUUUUCCGGGGGACGAGUGAGGACGGUACCCCGGGAAUCGGUCUCGGCUAACUACGUGCCAGCAGCCGCGGUAAAACGUAGGAGGCGAGCGUUAUCCGGAUUCACCGGGCGUAAAGCGCAUGUAGGUGGACCGUCAAGUGGCAUGUGAAAGCCCCUGGCUUAACUGGGGGAGGCCAUGCCAAACUGGCGGACUUGAGGGCCGGAGAGGAAGGUGGAAUUCCCGGUGUAGCGGUGGAAUGCGUAGAGAUCGGGAGGAACACCAGUGGCGAAAGCGGCCUUCUGGCCGGCGCCUGACACUGAGAUGCGAAAGCGUGGGGAGCAAACGGGGAUUAGAUACCCCGGUAGUCCACGCCCUAAACGAUGAGGG